UGGGGAAUUUGGACAAUGGGCGCAAGCCUGAUCCAGCAAUGUCGCGUGCAGGAUGAAGGCCUUCGGGUUGUAAACUGCUUUUGUACGGAACGAAACGGUCUUUUCUAAUACAGAAGGCUAAUGACGGUACCGUAAGAAUAAGCACCGGCUAACUACGUGCCAGCAGCCGCGGUAAUACGUAGGGUGCAAGCGUUAAUCGGAAUUACUGGGCGUAAAGCGUGCGCAGGCGGUUAUAUAAGACAGAUGUGAAGUCCCCGGGCUCAACCUGGGAACUGCAUUUGUGACUGUAUAGCUAGAGUACGGCAGAGGGGGAUGGAAUUCCGCGUGUAGCAGUGAAAUGCGUAGAUAUGCGGAGGAACACCGAUGGCGAAGGCAAUCCCCUGGGCCUGUACUGACGCUCAUGCACGAAAGCGUGGGGAGCAAACA
RNAcentral lists this ribosomal RNA (426 nucleotides) under uncultured bacterium. RNAcentral's name for it is "bacterial SSU rRNA". It matches the Rfam family "Bacterial small subunit ribosomal RNA", at positions 356 to 774 of the family's 1533-position model. The record is from RNAcentral.